AAGGGAGACCUAAUUCAGGUAGGAGACGAAAAAAAAGUAGUCGCUACCAAGAAUCAAUCCCAAAAGGUCGGAGCGAGGCGAAAUUGGCUUUCAAACUAGGUUCUGGGUUCACACAAGACCUGAAUCAGGAACAAGGGCUAUUAGCUCAGGUGGUUAGAGCGCACCCCUGAUAAGGGUGAGGUCCCUGGUUCGAGUCCAGGAUGGCCCACCUGUACAGGUGGCAAAAAGAAAGAAAAGAAGCGAGGAAUCAGCACCUUAUCUUACUGACAUAGUAAGAGAGAAUGCUGGCUCUGAGUAAAGAGUCCAGAGGAACCUUGAAGACUGCAUAGAGCUAGGUGAAAAAGCCAAAAAAGAAGACCGCAA
RNAcentral lists this transfer RNA (363 nucleotides) under uncultured Microcystis sp. RNAcentral's name for it is "partial 16S-23S ribosomal RNA intergenic spacer". The stretch from base 135 to 208 matches the Rfam family "tRNA". The record is from RNAcentral. Lineage: Bacteria; Bacillati; Cyanobacteriota; Cyanophyceae; Chroococcales; Microcystaceae.